AGUAACACGUGAGCAACCUGCCCCAGGCUUUGGGAUAACCCCGGGAAACCGGGGCUAAUACCGAAUAUGACCUUGCACCGCAUGGUGUUUGGUGGAAAGUUUUUCGGCUUGGGAUGGGCUCGCGGCCUAUCAGCUUGUUGGUGGGGUGAUGGCCUACCAAGGCGACGACGGGUAGCCGGCCUGAGAGGGCGACCGGCCACACUGGGACUGAGACACGGCCCAGACUCCUACGGGAGGCAGCAGUGGGGAAUAUUGCACAAUGGGCGGAAGCCUGAUGCAGCGACGCCGCGUGAGGGAUGACGGCCUUCGGGUUGUAAACCUCUUUCAGCAGGGACGAAGCGUAAGUGACGGUACCUGCAGAAGAAGCGCCGGCCAACUACGUGCCAGCAGCCGCGGUAAGACGUAGGGCGCGAGCGUUGUCCGGAUUUAUUGGGCGUAAAGAGCUCGUAGGCGGCUUGUCGCGUCGACCGUGAAAACCUG
Molecule: ribosomal RNA, 480 nt
Filed under: Micromonospora chalcea
Lineage: Bacteria; Bacillati; Actinomycetota; Actinomycetes; Micromonosporales; Micromonosporaceae
Description: bacterial SSU rRNA
Rfam family: Bacterial small subunit ribosomal RNA
Source: RNAcentral